GAAAGAAUAUCGGAGACGGAUGGGCAUGCGGCGCAUUAGCUGGUUGGCGGGGUAACGGCCCACCAAGGCGACGAUGCGUAGGGGUUCUGAGAGGAAGGUCCCCCACACUGGUACUGAGACACGGACCAGACUCCUACGGGAGGCAGCAGUGAGGAAUAUUGGUCAAUGGGCGAGAGCCUGAACCAGCCAAGUCGCGUGAGGGAGUACUGCCCUAUGGGUUGUAAACCUCUUUUGUCGGGGAGCAAAAGCCGGACGUGUCCGGCUGUGAGAGUACCCGAAGAAAAAGCAUCGGCUAACUCCGUGCCAGCAGCCGCGGUAAUACGGAGGAUGCGAGCGUUAUCCGGAUUUAUUGGGUUUAAAGGGUGCGCAGGCGGAUUUUUAAGUCAGCGGUCAAAUCGUGGGGCUCAACCCCAUCCAGCCGUUGAAACUGGGGAUCUAGAGUGUGCGAGAGGUAUGCGGAAUGCGUGGUGUAGCGGUGAAAUGCAUAGAUAUCACGCAGAACCCCGAUUGCGAAGGCAGCAUACCGGUGCACAACUGACGCUCAGGCACGAAAGCGUGGGUAUCGAACAGGAUUAGAUACCCUGG
RNAcentral lists this ribosomal RNA (585 nucleotides) under uncultured bacterium. RNAcentral describes it as "bacterial SSU rRNA". It matches the Rfam family "Bacterial small subunit ribosomal RNA", at positions 202 to 790 of the family's 1533-position model. The record is from RNAcentral.